RNAcentral lists this transfer RNA (77 nucleotides) under Acidobacteriota bacterium. RNAcentral's name for it is "Acidobacteria bacterium tRNA-Pro". It matches the Rfam family "tRNA". From Rfam's summary of the family: Transfer RNA (tRNA) molecules are approximately 80 nucleotides in length. The record is from RNAcentral. RNAcentral also lists the same sequence under 18 other names. Lineage: Bacteria; Pseudomonadati; Acidobacteriota.
CGGGGCGUAGCGCAGCCUGGUAGCGCACCUGCCUUGGGCGCAGGGGGUCCGCGGUUCAAAUCCGCGCGCCCCGACCA